UAGGGUCCGAGUUGUAAUUUGUAGAGGAUGCUUUUGGUGAGGUGCCGCCCGAGUUCCCUGGAACGGGACGCCGCAGAGGGUGAGAGCCCCGUCUGGCUGGCCACCGAGCCUCUGUAAAGCUCCUUCGACGAGUCGAGUAGUUUGGGAAUGCUGCUCAAAAUGGGAGGUAUAUGUCUUCUAAAGCUAAAUAUUGGCCAGAGACCGAUAGCGCACAAGUAGAGUGAUCGAAAGAUGAAAAGCACCUUGAAAAGAGGGUUAAACAGUACGUGAAAUUGUUGAAAGGGAAGCGCUUGUGACCAGACUUGGGCGCGGCGAAUCAUCCGGGGUUCUCUCCGGUGCACUUCGCCGUGUUCAGGCCAGCAUCAGUUCGGCGCGGGGGAAAAAGGCUUCGGGAACGUGGCUGCUCCGGCAGUGUUAUAGCCCGUUGCAUAAUACCCUGCGCUGGACUGAGGACCGCGCAUCUGCAAGGAUGCUGGCGUAAUGGUCACCAGCGACCCGUCUUGAAACACGGACCAAGGAGUCGUCUUCGUAUGCGAGUGUUCGGGUGUCAAACCCCUACGCGUAAUGAAAGUGAACGCAGGUGAGAGCUUCGGCGCAUCAUCGACCGAUCCUGAUGUUCUCGGAUGGAUUUGAGUAAGAGCAUACGGGGCCGGACCCGAAAGAAGGUGAACUAUGCCUGUAUAGGGUGAAGCCAGAGGAAACUCUGGUGGAGGCUCGCAGCGGUUCUGACGUGCAAAUCGAUCGUCAAAUAUGGGCA
RNAcentral lists this ribosomal RNA (757 nucleotides) under Trichoderma koningiopsis. Its description in RNAcentral is "partial large subunit ribosomal RNA". It matches the Rfam family "Eukaryotic large subunit ribosomal RNA", at positions 132 to 917 of the family's 3401-position model. Lineage: Eukaryota; Fungi; Ascomycota; Sordariomycetes; Hypocreales; Hypocreaceae. The record is from RNAcentral.